GAGAACGCUGGCGGCGUCUUAACACAUGCAAGUCGAACGGUGAAGCGCCUUCUUUUGGUGGGUGUGGAUGAGUGGCGAACGGGUGAGUAACACGUGAGUAACUGCCCCCUUCUUCUGAUAACCGCAGAAAGUGUGGCUAAUACGGGAUAUUCUUUCCUGCUGCAUGGUGGGUGUGGAAAAGAUUUGUUUCGGGGGGGGGAUGGGCUCGGGCCUAUCAGCUUGUUGGUGGGGUGAUGCCUUACCAAGCCGGGGACGGUUAGCCGCCUGAAGAGGGUGGACGUUCAACCUGGGGUGAGACCCGGCCCAAAAUUCUUAGGGAGGCAGCAGGGGGGAAUAUUGCACAAUGGGCGCAAGCCUGAUGCAGCGACGCCGCGUGAGGGAUGGAGGCCUUCGGGUUGUAAACCUCUUUCGCCAGUGAAGCAGGCCUGCUCCUUGUGGGUGGGUUGACGGUAGCUGGAUAAGAAGCGCCGGCUAACUACGUGCCAGCAGCCGCGGUAAUACGUAGGGCGCGAGCGUUGUCCGGAAUUAUUGGGCGUAAAGAGCUCGUAGGCGGCUGGUCGCGUCUGUCGUGAAAUCCUCUGGCUUAACUGGGGGCUUGCGGUGGGUACGGGCCGGCUUGAGUGCGGUAGGGGAGACUGGAACUCCUGGUGUAGCGGUGGAAUGCGCAGAUAUCAGGAAGAACACCGGUGGCGAAGGCGGGUCUCUGGGCCGUUACUGACGCUGAGGAGCGAAAGCGUGGGGAGCGAACAGG
RNAcentral lists this ribosomal RNA (751 nucleotides) under uncultured Actinomyces sp. RNAcentral's name for it is "bacterial SSU rRNA". It matches the Rfam family "Bacterial small subunit ribosomal RNA", at positions 29 to 776 of the family's 1533-position model. Lineage: Bacteria; Bacillati; Actinomycetota; Actinomycetes; Actinomycetales; Actinomycetaceae. The record is from RNAcentral.